UGGCCGUCGAAUGUGGUGGCACAGCGUCGGACAGAGGCUCCUCCAGGGACCAGGGACUGUAGGCUAAUCUGUCUGUUUCGCCAGGCCUGUUAAUCCGCCUGCUGUGGAGGCCGCUCAGCGCAGGGGCGGAGGAGUGACCCGGUAGCCCAACUGGUGCUCAGAGUGUCCACCCCAGUACCCGGAAAUGCUCAGUCCGGUGUAGAGGUGCUGCGCUGGGAGGAAGUGACACUUAGACUGAGCUCUGAAGACUGGAAGAAAUCGGUUGGGAUGAAGAAAAGACCAGUGGGAAGAGAGUUUUCUAGCCAAAGGAAACAACAUGUGUCAAGGCUCUGAGAAUGGAGGGAACAUAACAAUGGCAGGUGACAAUUAGUACUUACCAUCGACCAGCCAUUUUCUGUGUGUUGUGUAUCAGUUCUUUCAUGCAGCUACAUUGUCAUGGGGUAGAUAUUGAAACACCUGAGUUUUUCGUUUUGUUUUUAUUUUUGUUUUUGUUUGUUUUGUUUUUUCUAGGGCC
Sus scrofa (pig) is the source of this 514-nucleotide non-coding RNA. The record is from RefSeq and is a predicted model, not a curated record. Lineage: Eukaryota; Metazoa; Chordata; Mammalia; Artiodactyla; Suidae.